RNAcentral lists this long non-coding RNA (465 nucleotides) under Athene cunicularia (burrowing owl). RNAcentral's name for it is "lncRNA (ENSACUG00000008572.1)". Lineage: Eukaryota; Metazoa; Chordata; Aves; Strigiformes; Strigidae. The record is from RNAcentral.
UGGGUACUCUAUGGGCUUCUUGCUCUCAGUGCCACUAAUGCUCAUCUGUUUUGUGUUUGACAGAACGCGUCCCUGACACUUUCCGGUCAGCAGUAUUCAGAAAAUGGGCUGUACAUUGGGAUUGGUUUAUGUGCAGUACUUCUAGCCAUCCUUAUUUUGGCUCUGUUCCUCACUAGACAAUAUUUGUACAAUACAAAGAAGACGAGUGACUUUGCAAACUUUGUUGCAUUUUGGAGGCCAGAACGUGCAGGGAACCAUAGUGCCCUGGAAGAUGAGAUCCAUGCAGAGGAAAACAUUUAUAUAAUACACUAAGGACUAUGGGACUGCAUGCAUGCUUGCCAUUGUCAUCACUGGGACAUUAAAUAGUUUGCAAAAUGUUAGCUGCUCCCUCUGCUCAGCAGCUAAACGUGACUGGACUACUGAAGCAUUAUUCACAUCACUCUAAUAAAACAAAUAAAAGCUACA